Molecule: microRNA precursor, 110 nt
Organism: Cricetulus griseus (Chinese hamster)
Lineage: Eukaryota; Metazoa; Chordata; Mammalia; Rodentia; Cricetidae
Source: Ensembl
GGUGGCUGACCCCCAGCCAGCGCAGACUGGUAUGCAACAGCCGUCUCUGAGCGGGUAUCUCUUUGAGAGGCUCACUCUCAAGCAUGAUUAGGAAGGAAGCCUCGCCUUCC